RNAcentral lists this ribosomal RNA (403 nucleotides) under uncultured bacterium. Its description in RNAcentral is "bacterial SSU rRNA". It matches the Rfam family "Bacterial small subunit ribosomal RNA", at positions 355 to 774 of the family's 1533-position model. The record is from RNAcentral.
UGGGGAAUCUUGCCCAAUGGGCGCAAGCCUGAGGCAGCAACGCCGCGUGCGGGAAGAAGGCCUUCGGGUUGUAAACCGCUUUCAGCAGGAACGAAAAUGACGGUACCUGCAGAAGAAGGUGCGGCCAACUACGUGCCAGCAGCCGCGGUGACACGUAGGCACCAAGCGUUGUCCGGAUUUAUUGGGCGUAAAGAGCUCGUAGGCGGUUCGGUAAGUCGGGUGUGAAAACUUUGGGCUCAACCCAAAGCCUGCAUUCGAUACUGCUGUGACUUGAGUCCGGUAGGGGAGUGGGGAAUUCCUGGUGUAGCGGUGGAAUGCGCAGAUAUCAGGAGGAACACCGGUGGCGAAGGCGCCACUCUGGGCCGGUACUGACGCUGAGGAGCGAAAGCGUGGGGAGCGAACA